RNAcentral lists this small nuclear RNA (23 nucleotides) under Arabidopsis thaliana (thale cress). RNAcentral's name for it is "snRNA_08684". Lineage: Eukaryota; Viridiplantae; Streptophyta; Magnoliopsida; Brassicales; Brassicaceae. The record is from RNAcentral.
AGGAUAGCUCUUCAAACAUCUUU